This 494-nucleotide ribosomal RNA is filed under the name uncultured bacterium. RNAcentral describes it as "partial 16S ribosomal RNA". It matches the Rfam family "Bacterial small subunit ribosomal RNA", at positions 28 to 507 of the family's 1533-position model. The record is from RNAcentral.
GACGAACGCUGGCGGCGUGCUUAACACAUGCAAGUCGAACGGAAAGGCCUGCUUUCCCUUGUGGAUUGCGGGUACUCGAGUGGCGAACGGGUGAGUAACACGUGAGUGAUCUGCCCCCAACUUGGGUAUAAGCCUGGGAAACUGGGUCUAAUUCCCGAUAGGACUGCAGGGUGGUGCCUGUGGUGGAAAACGAUUUUCUAGUGGUUGGGGAUGAGCUCGCGGCCUAUCAGCUUGUUGGUGGGGUAAUGGCCUACCAAGGCGGCGACGGGUAGCCGGCCUGAGAGGGUGGACAGCCACAUUGGGACUGGGAUACGGCCCAGACGCCUACGGGAGGCAGCAGUGGGGAGUAUUGCACAAUGGGCGGGAGCCUGAUGCAGCGACGCCGCGUGGGGGAUGACGGCCUUCGGGUUGUAAACUCCUUUCGACCGCGAGGAAGCCACCUGGUUGGAAGGGUGGUGACGGUAGUGGUAGAAGAAGCACCGGCUAACUACGUG